RNAcentral lists this non-coding RNA (25 nucleotides) under Mus musculus (house mouse). Lineage: Eukaryota; Metazoa; Chordata; Mammalia; Rodentia; Muridae. The record is from RNAcentral.
UAGGAAGGGUUUUAAGGUAGCUGAG